Molecule: long non-coding RNA, 1683 nt
Filed under: Arachis ipaensis
Lineage: Eukaryota; Viridiplantae; Streptophyta; Magnoliopsida; Fabales; Fabaceae
Description: long non-coding RNA (AIPA_LNC002396)
Source: RNAcentral
ACGGAUAUUGCUACAUUGGAUCAACAAUCCAGGCCCAAUGGCCCAUCACUCCCUAUAUCUCACAACCGCAAAGAUCGCAAAGCCUAUAACUGAAGGACCCCCACAAAAUCACGUGCAACUUCUUACUCAGCAGUAGUCAGUAGGGUUCUACUAUAAGUAGUAACUUUAACCCUCUUUUUCUUUCCGCCGUCACCUUCUCUUUGCAGCAAAACUUUCACCAACUUUCGCUUCACAUGCUUUCAGAUUCCUUUGCUAAGCACGUCUCUCACCUCUUUUAUCCAUUCUCAACCGUUUUCACCUCUCUCUUUUUCUCUCUAUAUAUCCCAAUCAAGCUCAGAUCUACUUCACAACUCUUUGAUCUUGUUUUGGAUCUACUUAUUAAUUAAUUUUCCUGCAGUUGGAUCGAUGAAUUCUGGAUCAGUUAUUUAAUGCUCGUGAAUGCUCGUGAUGUGUCGCGUUCGUGCCUCGUCAGAGCUGUGCUUUGCUUCGUCGACGAAGCUUGUGGCUCUGAAUACUGUGAUUCCUUUGAUUAGAUACAAUAGAAGGAUUCUGUAUAACGGUUGACAUGAGUUUAUCUCGUUUUUAAAGAUAUCUUUGCAUUUCAUAUGAGAUUUAAAGUUUUUAUUGGUAAUAUAAAUCUCACAUGAAAUUUAAAUUUAUAUUUUAAAGUUAAGAUAAAGUCAUGUCACCGUUAAUACAGAAUCCUUCAAUUAUAUUUAGUCAGGGGAGCUCUUUUAAUUUUGCUGAAAUUGUUACUUUGCAUCAUUGUUGAUUUUCAUUGUUAAUUUUCAUUUUAAUGUGGAAUACUAGUAAAUGUCAUGAAUAUGAUGUUAAGAAAACUUUCAGUGUUCUUUCUCCUGUUUUAUUCAUGUGAAUUAUUCCGUUGACUCUGCUUAUGUAUUUAGUUAUUUUCUUCUUUUAAUUUUUUUAACUGAAAAAUCUUUUCUUAUUGACAUCCAAACCUUCAAACUAACCCUGGCUCGAAGAGUAAUUAUAAGUUGAACAAACAAAGUAAUCAUUAUAAGAAAUUAUCCCCUCUUGAAACUUCUCCUCAAAUCAAUUCCUCACAAAUUCCUCGCAAACAAACAGAACCCCAACAAAAUUGAAACAAAGAAACCCCAAAUUCAUGAUAAAGCAAAACCCCAUCAGAAACAAUAUAAAACCAUUCAGCUAACCAAUUUUCACUUUUGCACCUGGUUUGAGGUCCUGCGAAAGAAGAAGGAGAAGAUGAUGAUGUUCACGUUGAUGAUGGGCACGUCCGUUGANNNNNNNNNNNNNNNNNNNNNNNNNNNUUAUUAAAUAUAUUUAAAAGUAAUUAUAAGUUGAACACACACAUAAAUAAUAUAAUUAAGCUAUGUAUAUGUAGUAAGUAGGGAAAUGAAAAAAAUAAGAUAAGAGGGUGUGUACAAGAUAAUUAAGGAAGAAGGAGACAAAUGAUGAAGAUCAGAGAUGUAUUAUUGAACUAAGGGAGUGUUUGUUUUGGCUUUGGAGAGGUGAAAGUUAUAUGGUGGCAUUCUUCAAGCCUCUCUCAAUUUGAUUUUGUCAAUUUGAUUUUUUUUUUUUAAUUACUUGUAAGGCACAAUGAAUGAAUUAAUAAAUUUGUGAUUUCAGUGAUUUUGGAUCUCUCGCAUAAUCAAAUAAGUGGAUCAAUUAAUAUAAAUGUAUUAUCUCAUAAUCAUUUUU